RNAcentral lists this ribosomal RNA (394 nucleotides) under uncultured bacterium. RNAcentral describes it as "partial 16S ribosomal RNA". It matches the Rfam family "Bacterial small subunit ribosomal RNA", at positions 523 to 918 of the family's 1533-position model. The record is from RNAcentral.
AUACGUAGGGGGCUAGCGUUAUCCGGAAUUACUGGGCGUAAAGGGUGCGUAGGUGGCUUCUUAAGUCAGAAGUGAAAGGCUACGGCUCAACCGUAGUACGCUUUUGAAACUAAGAGACUUGAGUGCAGGAGAGGAGAGUAGAAUUCCUAGUGUAGCGGUGAAAUGCGUAGAUAUUAGGAGGAAUACCAGUUGCGAAGGCGGCUCUCUGGACCGUAACUGACACUGAGGCACGAAAGCGUGGGGAGCAAACAGGAUUAGUUACCCUGGUAGUCCACGCCGUAAACGAUGAGUACUAGCUGUCGGGGGUUACCCCCCUCGGUGGCGCAGCUAACGCAUUAAGUACUCCGCCUGGGAAGUACGCUCGCAAGAGUGAAACUCAAAGGAAUUGACGGGG